This 404-nucleotide ribosomal RNA is filed under the name Acidobacteriota bacterium. Its description in RNAcentral is "Acidobacteria bacterium partial 16S ribosomal RNA". It matches the Rfam family "Bacterial small subunit ribosomal RNA", at positions 355 to 776 of the family's 1533-position model. The record is from RNAcentral. Lineage: Bacteria; Pseudomonadati; Acidobacteriota.
UGGGGAAUAUUGCACAAUGGGGGAAACCCUGAUGCAGCGACGCCGCGUGAAGGAAGAAGUAUCUCGGUAUGUAAACUUCUAUCAGCAGGGAAGAAAAUGACGGUACCUGACUAAGAAGCCCCGGCUAACUACGUGCCAGCAGCCGCGGUAAUACGUAGGGGGCAAGCGUUAUCCGGAUUUACUGGGUGUAAAGGGAGCGUAGACGGAAGAGCAAGUCUGAUGUGAAAGGCUGGGGCUUAACCCCAGGACUGCAUUGGAAACUGUUUUUCUAGAGUGCCGGAGAGGUAAGCGGAAUUCCUAGUGUAGCGGUGAAAUGCGUAGAUAUUAGGAGGAACACCAGUGGCGAAGGCGGCUUACUGGACGGUAACUGACGUUGAGGCUCGAAAGCGUGGGGAGCAAACAGG